This 72-nucleotide transfer RNA is filed under the name Salmo salar (Atlantic salmon). It matches the Rfam family "tRNA". From Rfam's summary of the family: Transfer RNA (tRNA) molecules are approximately 80 nucleotides in length. Their secondary structure includes four short double-helical elements and three loops (D, anti-codon, and T loops). Lineage: Eukaryota; Metazoa; Chordata; Actinopteri; Salmoniformes; Salmonidae. The record is from Rfam by way of RNAcentral. RNAcentral also lists the same sequence under 1 other name.
UCCUGUGUUGCUCAUUUGGUAAGAGCAUGGCACUGGCAAUGCCAAGGUUUUGGAUUUCAGUUCCCACUGGAA